Molecule: long non-coding RNA, 996 nt
Filed under: Lathyrus oleraceus (garden pea)
Lineage: Eukaryota; Viridiplantae; Streptophyta; Magnoliopsida; Fabales; Fabaceae
Description: Pisum sativum (pea) long non-coding RNA (PSAT_LNC002021)
Source: RNAcentral
GUCAUAAUUCUUACCUUAUUUUGAAGCGCCUCUAGAUUUCUUGUCAUCUUCAUCUUCAAAUUUCUCAAUCUUGACCGGAGCAAUUCACCACUCCAAAGUUGGUGCACCUCUUUCAAACUCACUUGCUUUAUCAUAUUUCUUGUUACCAGAUGAUAGAAUUGAUGUAGAGGAACAUUAGCCCCAAGUUCUAAGGUUGAAACCAAUUGUAAUUCAUGUUUAAUUGGGGACCUAGAAUUUAGGGUUCAUAUGAGUUGAUUCUCUGAUUGGAAGUGUUAAGAAGGAAUUAAUAGAGGUUAACGUGAGAACGAAAGAAAGGGAACAAGGAUGAUUCCAUUGAUGCGAGGUUGAGGUCUAUUGAUAUGAGUUGAUUCUCUGAUUGGAAGUGUUAAGAAGGAAUUAAUAGAGGUUAACGUGAGAACGAAAGAAAGGGAACAAGGAUGAUUCCAUUGAUGCGAGGUUGAGGUCUAUUGAAGCUCAGCCGCCACUAGAGGCGAUUUCCAAUGCGGUGGAGGGAAGACUGGAAAUCAUUUUUUAGUUGGAAUAAGGGGAUGUGGAAGUGAGUAUGAGUUAGCCUUGACACUCUGAUUGUUAUCCUUUUGUUGAGCUCGGUUGGGCCUUAAGCCCAAAUUCCUACUAUUUGCACCACCAUUUUUCUUGAACACCCCUUUGCAUAUUGGAAGUAAAAUGACUUUGGGUUUUUAGCAGGCCUAACACCAGUCUGCUUACCCCACACCUCCAUUCCAGCGUCUGUACCCCUGCAUUUGUUUUGUAUUUUUCUAUCUUUAUUAUUUCUCGUGAUCUUAGUUGUUUCUCAAUAGUUUUUUUUUCUUUUAAUUCAUUUUAUUUUUUAUGUAAAAAAGAUUUUGACAUGUUAGCAUACAUUUUAAUCAAUAAUAAUAAUGCACAAUUUAAUUGGAGUUAAUCACUUAGUUUUUGGUUAAUUCUCAAUUUAAAAUGUUAAGAAAUAAUGCCCAUGCUCGUGAUGCUUUAGAUUAG